Molecule: non-coding RNA, 76 nt
Organism: Podarcis lilfordi (Lilford's wall lizard)
Lineage: Eukaryota; Metazoa; Chordata; Lepidosauria; Squamata; Lacertidae
Source: the annotation of a GenBank genome assembly
GCCAAGUUCAAGCUCAGUUGGUUAGAGCAUGGUGCUGAUAAUGCCAAGGUUGCAGGUUCGAUCCCCAUAUGGGACA